GGAUUGUAGCUCAGUGGUAGAGCACUUGCCUAACAUGAGUGAGGCACUAGGUUCAAUCCUCAGCACCA
RNAcentral lists this transfer RNA (68 nucleotides) under Marmota monax (woodchuck). Its description in RNAcentral is "tRNA.Val". The record is from RNAcentral. Lineage: Eukaryota; Metazoa; Chordata; Mammalia; Rodentia; Sciuridae.